This 84-nucleotide microRNA precursor is filed under the name Saimiri boliviensis boliviensis (Bolivian squirrel monkey). RNAcentral describes it as "miRNA (ENSSBOG00000002800.1)". The record is from RNAcentral. Lineage: Eukaryota; Metazoa; Chordata; Mammalia; Primates; Cebidae.
GUAUUAGUUUGGUGCAAAAGUAAUUGCAGUUUUUGCCAUUACUUUCAACAGGAAAAAACUGCAGUUACUUUUGCACCAACCUAA